CAUUCAUCAUGAGUUAGCUGAGGGACUGGCCCGAUGACGCUGCGGCAACCAUCGCUUUUGCGAAACGGUGCCAAUUCCAACAGGAGUAAUCCUGAGAGAUGAGGG
This 105-nucleotide non-coding RNA is filed under the name Anaerosporomusa subterranea. RNAcentral's name for it is "Anaerosporomusa subterraneum SAM-I sequence". It matches the Rfam family "SAM riboswitch aptamer (S box leader)". From Rfam's summary of the family: The SAM riboswitch is found upstream of a number of genes which code for proteins involved in methionine or cysteine biosynthesis in Gram-positive bacteria. Lineage: Bacteria; Bacillati; Bacillota; Negativicutes; Acetonemataceae. The record is from Rfam by way of RNAcentral.